Long non-coding RNA from Cebus imitator (Panamanian white-faced capuchin), 686 nucleotides. RefSeq lists it as uncharacterized. The record is from RefSeq and is a predicted model, not a curated record. Lineage: Eukaryota; Metazoa; Chordata; Mammalia; Primates; Cebidae. The transcript has 4 exons.
GGGGAGGGUUCCCACCACUCCUAGAACUGAUACAAGGCUCUCUGCACCUGAACUGUUUGCAUGAACAUGGUUUAUGCUGAACCCCUGCUUGCCUCCUAGGAGUCUGACAAUGUGGUCCGUGCCAAGGAGCACCUGCCAAUGGGGCAGCCCCACUAAACACCCUGGGUCACAUAGUGCUGGGACAGCCAAGUCCCUCCUGUGUGAAGGCACUGGGACUGGGAGAGGACACUAGUUGCUGGCCCUGGUUCCCCCUGGACUCCGCCCUGGCCCCUUUCCCUGUGCCAACACUCCUGCCUCCUCUUACUGUAGUCAGUGACAGCUGCGAACAGCACAAUGUGCCGGGUCAUGGAGCACUCUUUCAAAUUCACUGCCCUAUGGGUGGCCAUGGGACUCUGGCACAGCAGAGAGGCUACGGAGGUGACAUUCAACAGCCAGUCAGAGGGAUGCCCACCCUGGGACUGGGCAGAGUCUUGGGGGCUCUGUGCUGGGCCAAACAUUAGCCCUGGAUGGUGGAGAGGCCAGAAGUUCUUAGUCCUGCCAGGAAGGCAGUAGCUGUGAGCGUUUAACGACCACACGGCCACAGAGAGCUCAUCGUGGAACCAGGAAGAGACCCUGUGACAGUGAGCUUCACAGAAACAAGGCUGUUCACUCUAAAGAAAGCAGGCGGCAGACUGAAGAAAAUGAGA